Molecule: ribosomal RNA, 290 nt
Filed under: bacterium enrichment culture clone HS6
Lineage: Bacteria
Description: partial 16S ribosomal RNA
Rfam family: Bacterial small subunit ribosomal RNA
Source: RNAcentral
AACCGUUAUCGUUGUUUGCGAGCACUUCGGGUGGGAACUCCAGGGAGACGGCGGGUGAUAAACCGGAGGAAGGGGGGGAGGACGGCAAGUCAUCAUGGGCCUUACGAGUAGGGGUACACACGGGGUACAAUGGCAUAUACAGAGGGCAGCAAGACGGGAGGGGGAGGGAAUCCCACAAAGUAUGUGGGGUGGGGAGUGGGGUCUGCAACUGGACUCCAUGAAGUCGGAAUCGGUAGUAAUGGGGGAUCAGAAGCCACGGGGAAUAGGUUCGGGGGCCGGGACACACCGCC